AGCAGGGACUUUGGAGUGACUUGUGGCUUCAGCAGGAGCCCUGUGAUUUGGCUCUUCUGAUCUCGCCCUGCGAUGGUGUCUUUGCCUCGGCUGUGCGCGCUAUGGGGCUGCUUGUUGACAGCGGUCCAUCUAGGGCAGUGUGUUACGUGCAGUGACAAACAGUACCUCCACGAUGGCCAGUGCUGUGAUUUGUGCCAGCCAGGAAGCCGACUGACAAGCCACUGCACAGCUCUUGAGAAGACCCAAUGCCACCCAUGUGACUCAGGCGAAUUCUCAGCCCAGUGGAACAGGGAGAUUCGCUGUCACCAGCACAGACACUGUGAACCCAAUCAAGGGCUUCGGGUUAAGAAGGAGGGCACCGCAGAAUCAGACACUGUCUGUACCUGUAAGGAAGGACAACACUGCACCAGCAAGGAUUGCGAGGCAUGUGCUCAGCACACGCCCUGUAUCCCUGGCUUUGGAGUUAUGGAGAUGGCCACUGAGACCACUGAUACCGUCUGUCAUCCCUGCCCAGUCGGCUUCUUCUCCAAUCAGUCAUCACUUUUCGAAAAGUGUUAUCCCUGGACAAGCUGUGAGGAUAAGAACUUGGAGGUCCUACAGAAAGGAACGAGUCAGACUAAUGUCAUCUGUGGUUUAAAGUCCCGGAUGCGAGCCCUGCUGGUCAUUCCUGUCGUGAUGGGCAUCCUCAUCACCAUUUUCGGGGUGUUUCUCUAUAUCAGUGAGUGCUCAGGAGAGGAAAGGGAGGGAGGGUUCAGCCCUGUCGAACCAGCCUCCUGACUCACCCUCGCAAUGUCCCACACCCCUUCUUCUUCUCACUAGAAAAGGUGGUCAAGAAACCAAAGGAUAAUGAGAUCUUACCCCCUGCGGCUCGACGGCAAGAUCCCCAGGAGAUGGAAGAUUAUCCCGGUCAUAACACCGCUGCUCCAGUGCAGGAGACGCUGCACGGGUGUCAGCCUGUCACACAGGAGGAUGGUAAAGAGAGUCGCAUCUCAGUGCAGGAGCGGCAGGUGACAGACAGCAUAGCCUUGAGGCCCCUGGUCUGAACCCUGGAACUGCUUUGGAGGCGAUGGCUCGGCUCGGGAGCAGGGGCCUGGCUCUGAGGACUGCUUGCUGACCUUUGAAGUUUGAGAUGAGCCAAGACAGAGCCCAGUGCAGCUAACUCUCAUGCCUGCCCCCUAUCAUUUCUCAACUUGCUUUUUAAGGAUGGAGGGAGAGCUCGGGCAUCGGGGGUCCACAGUGAUACCUACCAAGUGCAGCAGUGCAGGACCCAGAGUCGUCUUGCUGCGGCGUUCACUGUAAGGAGUCAUGGACACAGGAGUCCGUGGCCCACAGCUUGUGCUGCUAGAGGGCACCUGGUUGCCCAUCAGCAGGGUACUGGCUAAAUAAAUCUGUAAUUAUUUAUACAAUGACAUCUCAGAAACUCUAGCAGGUGGGGCAGAAAACAGGUAGUAGAAUGAUGGGUAGAGAAAUAGCUUUUAAAACACAUUCCAAGGCAGGUAAGAUGGCUUUUGUGAGUAAAGGAGCUUGCUGCCCAAACCCGGUUACCUGAUUUUGAUCCCUGGGACUUCAUGGUAAAAGGGAGAGAACCAAAUCCAGAGGGUUGUCAUUUGACCUCCAUGUGUGCUCUGUGGUAAUGUACCCCGUGUGUGCACAUGUGCACAUAUCCUAAAAUGGAUGUGGUGGUGUAUUGUAGAAAUUAUUUAAUCCCGCCCUGGGGUUUCUACCUGUGUGUUACCAUUUAGUUCUUGAAUAAAAGACACACUCAACCUUUAUAUUUACAAUAA
RNA transcript from Mus musculus (house mouse), 1784 nucleotides. It is a transcript of the gene named CD40 antigen, with no coding region annotated. NCBI's taxonomy places the organism in Eukaryota, Metazoa, Chordata, Mammalia, Rodentia, Muridae. The transcript is spliced from 8 exons. The record is from RefSeq and is marked validated.